AUUUGUUUGUAACAAAAAUCGCAUAAAUCUGCUUAAAAUCGUCGAGUAAAAUUCAAUGUCUGGAGCAAAAUUAGUUAUAUCCAAAUAAAGUCUGUGUGUAAUUUGUUGGAAUUUUUAGUUCGUUCGUUACUGUUGUGAGGUGAAGUAGGUACAUACGGUAAUGAGAAAUUGAGAAACCUCUCCUCGUGCAGUUUAUUUCAUUAUCGCAGACCGGUUGUGAUUAUUAUUAUUAUUAUUAAAUCUAGACAAUUUGCAGAGGAAUUAGGUUCCACUUAUGCAAAUUUUGCUAUAUUAUAAAAUCAUCGUAUUUAAUUGGAAUCAAGGAAUUGAUCGUGACUAAUUCUAAAAAUUUGGAUGAGGUCUGCCCUGUUCAGUCUAUCGGUCACAGUAGGCAAGUUUAAACUUUUAAGUUUGCGAUCGUAUGACAAAGCCGACAAACUUAGAUUCCACCUUGUUGCUGCGUGCUGCAACCUCUCAAAGAGCACGAGGUCCCCUUUAUGGAGUGGCCGCCAAACGGUUACGGAAAAUUCAAUGUGUGGUCUGAUGUAGGUGCAGUAUAAAUGUCUCAACAUUUUAGGAUCGGGAUUGGGAAAUAUUCUUUUAUAGAGAACUAGUAGCUUUUCGGUAGGCAAUAUUAGUUUGAGCGGUCCAGCGCAUGUCGUUGGUAACUGUGAUGCCUAAAUCUUUUUGGCUAGUCACCUCUGGUAGAACGGCAUCUUUUAUCUUAUAGCAAUAUUUGCUUGACUGACCCGAAAUUUCAGGUAACAAUGGACAUUGCUGAGCUACCGAAAUUGGAAAUUUUAAACCGGCAAAUUACGUAAGUGUAAUUACACAGUAGCUAAUUAAAUGUGUUGCAGGGGAGCGCGCUUAAUUGAGGUAAAUUUUAGGACCAAUUACAGAUUUUUAUGUUUAUCGCAAUCCGCAGACCGCAUAAUUAAUUGAAGAAAUUUUUCUUUUGGACCUUCUAAUCCGAAUAUACUGGGCUGGCUGGGAAACCGUCGGUUCCUCCAUGAAAUGACCGAAUUUUAUAAAAGGUAAAGUCGUUGUUUAGAGGAGAGCUUGCAUUUAUUUUCCCGUAGUUACCGCUACCUACUUACUUUGUGCUUUGUUGCUUGCAUUCCCGUUAUGGCAAUCGCUACCGUGUCCGUGUGAGGUAAUUCUGUUUCAGUUGCUUCCCUGAACGUAACCACCCGCCGAAAUCUGGACUAAGCCAUUUCUUUACGUGACUGCCUUUGGCUACCGAUUGUGCCAAUCCUCCGAGACCGUUCCGAAACCGCCGACCAGAAGCAAGACUUUAAUCUUCUGGUGGCGCUCGAGUUUGCCCGUCCGUCCAUUCCGCCAUCACAUCAAAGUUGCCGCCGACUGCCAGUACUUUGGCCCGCUGGUGUGUUUUAGUUCGACUCAUUUGUAAAUGUAUAUAUUUUUCUUUUAAUUAAAUUUAAAUUUUGAUACCGCUA
Photinus pyralis (common eastern firefly) is the source of this 1457-nucleotide long non-coding RNA. RefSeq lists it as uncharacterized. The transcript is spliced from 2 exons. Lineage: Eukaryota; Metazoa; Arthropoda; Insecta; Coleoptera; Lampyridae. The record is from RefSeq and is a predicted model, not a curated record.